Molecule: ribosomal RNA, 484 nt
Filed under: uncultured bacterium
Lineage: Bacteria
Description: partial 16S ribosomal RNA
Rfam family: Bacterial small subunit ribosomal RNA
Source: RNAcentral
AUUGAACGCUGGCGGCAGGCCUAACACAUGCAAGUCGAGCGGAUGAAGGGAGCUUGCUCCUGGAUUCAGCGGCGGACGGGUGAGUAAUGCCUAGGAAUCUGCCUGGUAGUGGGGGCUAACGUCCGGAAACGGGCGCUAAUACCGCAUACGUCCUGAGGGAGAAAGUGGGGGAUCUUCGGACCUCACGCUAUCAGAUGAGCCUAGGUCGGAUUAGCUAGUUGGUGGGGUAAAGGCCUACCAAGGCGACGAUCCGUAACUGGUCUGAGAGGAUGAUCAGUCACACUGGAACUGAGACACGGUCCAGACUCCUACGGGAGGCAGCAGUGGGGAAUAUUGGACAAUGGGCGAAAGCCUGAUCCAGCCAUGCCGCGUGUGUGAAGAAGGUCUUCGGAUUGUAAAGCACUUUAAGUUGGGAGGAAGGGCAGUAAGUUAAUACCUUGCUGUUUUGACGGUACCAACAGAAUAAGCACCGGCUAACUUCGUG